Molecule: ribosomal RNA, 392 nt
Filed under: Rhizobiaceae bacterium
Lineage: Bacteria; Pseudomonadati; Pseudomonadota; Alphaproteobacteria; Hyphomicrobiales; Rhizobiaceae
Description: bacterial SSU rRNA
Rfam family: Bacterial small subunit ribosomal RNA
Source: RNAcentral
AGUGGCAGACGGGUGAGUAACGCGUGGGAAUCUACCCAUCUCUGCGGAAUAGCUCUGGGAAACUGGAAUUAAUACCGCAUACGCCCUACGGGGGAAAGAUUUAUCGGGGAUGGAUGAGCCCGCGUUGGAUUAGCUAGUUGGUGGGGUAAAGGCCUACCAAGGCGACGAUCCAUAGCUGGUCUGAGAGGAUGAUCAGCCACAUUGGGACUGAGACACGGUCCAACUACCUACGGGAGGCAGCAGUGGGGAAUAUUGGACAAUGGGCGCAAGCCUGAUCCAGCCAUGCCGCGUGAGUGAUGAAGGCCUUAGGGUUGUAAAGCUCUUUCACCGGUGAAGAUAAUGACGGUAACCGGAGAAGAAGCCCCGGCUAACUUCGUGCCAGCAGCACGCAG